RNAcentral lists this ribosomal RNA (790 nucleotides) under uncultured Alphaproteobacteria bacterium. Its description in RNAcentral is "bacterial SSU rRNA". It matches the Rfam family "Bacterial small subunit ribosomal RNA", at positions 556 to 1343 of the family's 1533-position model. Lineage: Bacteria; Pseudomonadati; Pseudomonadota; Alphaproteobacteria. The record is from RNAcentral.
GGGCGUAAAGCGCGCGCAGGCGGCCUGACAAGUCAGGAGUGAAAUCCCAAGGCUUAACCUUGGAAUUGCCUUUGAAACUGUUAGGCUAGAGUCCGGAAGAGGAUGGUGGAAUACCUAGUGUAGAGGUGAAAUUCGUAGAUAUUAGGUGGAACACCAGUGGCGAAGGCGGCCAUCUGGUCCGGUACUGACGCUGAGGCGCGAAAGCGUGGGGAUCAAACAGGAUUAGAUACCCUGGUAGUCCACGCUGUAAACGAUGAGUGCUAGAUGUCGGCUCCUUUAGGGGUCGGUGUCGCAGCUAACGCGUUAAGCACUCCGCCUGGGGAGUACGGUCGCAAGAUUAAAACUCAAAGGAAUUGACGGGGACCCGCACAAGCGGUGGAGCAUGUGGUUUAAUUCGAGGCAACGCGAAGAACCUUACCAGGCCUUGACAUGUCCAGUAUGAUCGGCAGAGAUGCCUUUCUUCAGUUCGGCUGGCUGGAACACAGGUGCUGCAUGGCUGUCGUCAGCUCGUGUCGUGAGAUGUUGGGUUAAGUCCCGCAACGAGCGCAACCCUCAUCCCUUGUUGCUAACAGGUAAUGCUGAGAACUCUAGGGAAACCGCCGGCGUCAAGCCGGAGGAAGGUGGGGACGACGUCAAGUCAUCAUGGCCCUUACGGCCUGGGCUACACACGUGCUACAAUGGCGGUGACAGUGGGCAGCGAGCCAGCAAUGGUCAGCUAAUCUCAAAAAGCCGCCUCAGUUCAGAUUGUCCUCUGCAACUCGAGGGCAUGAAGUCGGAAUCGCUAGUAAUC